This 497-nucleotide ribosomal RNA is filed under the name uncultured bacterium. Its description in RNAcentral is "partial 16S ribosomal RNA". It matches the Rfam family "Bacterial small subunit ribosomal RNA", at positions 29 to 507 of the family's 1533-position model. The record is from RNAcentral.
AAUGAACGCUGGCGGCGUGCCUAACACAUGCAAGUCGAGCGAACGGACGAUAAGCUCGCGCUCCUGCUGUUAGCGGCGGACGGGUGAGUAACACGUGGAUCACCUACUUCUAAUUCUUGGAUAAUUUCGGGGGACAACUGCUACUACUAGCUAAUACUUUGUACCGCAUGAUUCAAAAGUUCUACAGGGUCUUCCCGUCUGUUAUAGCUGGUUCCGCGCUGCAUUAGUUAGUUGGUAAGGUAACGGCUUACCAAGGCGACGAUGCAUAGCUGACCUGAGAGGAUGAUCAGCCACACUGGAACUGAGACACGGUCCAGACUCCUACGGGAGGCAGCAGUAGGGAAUCUUCGACAAUGGGCGAAAGCCUGACGGAGCAAUACCGCGUGAGUGAAGAAGGUCUUCGGGUCGUAAAGCUCUUUUAUUGGGGAAGAAAAUAAGUGGAAUUAACCGUGCAUGUCUUGACGGUACCUAAUCAGAAAGCAACGGCUAACUACGUG